GGGCGUGUAGCUCAGUUGGGAGAGCGCCUGCCUUACAAGCAGGUGGUCUGUGGUUCAAGUCCCUCCGCGGCCACCA
Molecule: transfer RNA, 76 nt
Filed under: Candidatus Tenebribacter mawsonii
Lineage: Bacteria; Pseudomonadati; Candidatus Cloacimonadota; Cloacimonadia (SeqCode); Cloacimonadales (SeqCode)
Description: tRNA-Val
Rfam family: tRNA
About the family: Transfer RNA (tRNA) molecules are approximately 80 nucleotides in length. Their secondary structure includes four short double-helical elements and three loops (D, anti-codon, and T loops).
Source: RNAcentral